Molecule: ribosomal RNA, 575 nt
Filed under: Scinax ruber (red snouted treefrog)
Lineage: Eukaryota; Metazoa; Chordata; Amphibia; Anura; Hylidae
Description: partial 16S ribosomal RNA
Rfam family: Bacterial large subunit ribosomal RNA
Source: RNAcentral
CGCCUCUUGAAUAAAAAUAAGAGGUCCAGCCUGCCCAGUGACUAUAGUUCAACGGCCGCGGUAUCCUAACCGUGCGAAGGUAGCGUAAUCACUUGUUCUUUAAAUGAGGACUAGUAUGAACGGCACCACGAGGGUUAUACUGUCUCCUCUUUCUAAUCAGUGAAACUAAUCUCCCCGUGAAGAAGCGGGGAUAAAACUAUAAGACGAGAAGACCCUAUGGAGCUUUAAAUUUCUCCUUAAACGCUUAAUCACUCAAAAGUUUAAAACUUCACCACAUGAAUCCUCGCGUUGUAAGGAUAACUUUUAGGUUGGGGUGACCACGGAGUAUAAAACAACCUCCAUGCUGAACAGGCCUCCAAGCCUUGAACCAAGGACCACAACCCGCCGCACUAGUACACUAACACCCAUUGAUCCAAUGCAUUUUGAUCAACGAACCAAGUUACCCUAGGGAUAACAGCGCAAUCUACUUCAAGAGUUCCUAUCGACAAGUGGGUUUACGACCUCGAUGUUGGAUCAGGGUGUCCCAGUGGUGCAGCCGCUACUAAUGGUUCGUUUGUUCAACGAUUAAAACCCUA